Molecule: ribosomal RNA, 322 nt
Filed under: Neogloboquadrina pachyderma
Lineage: Eukaryota; Foraminifera; Rotaliida; Globorotaliidae
Description: bacterial SSU rRNA
Rfam family: Eukaryotic small subunit ribosomal RNA
Source: RNAcentral
UUUGACUCAACGCGGGAAAUCUUACCGGGUCCGGACACACUGAGGAUUGACAGGCAAUAUCUCAUGGUUAUUAACCCGGUUAUUACAUUUUGUUUAAUCGGUUAUUAAGCAUCGAGUGUUAAAUAUGCUAGUCCUUUCAUGAUUAUGUGAUAGGUGGUGCAUGGCCGUUCUUAGUUCGUGGAGUGAUCUGUCUGCUUAAUUGCGUUUCACUAAGGGCCCAUAAAUUCAAGGUAUGUUAGCUAUCGUCGCUCUAUGGACCCCUUAUACUCGAUUUCGCUUUAAUUAGCGUUAUUUGUUUAAGCGCGCGUCUUUAUUUAAUGAG